RNAcentral lists this ribosomal RNA (216 nucleotides) under Triticum aestivum (bread wheat). Its description in RNAcentral is "partial small subunit ribosomal RNA". Lineage: Eukaryota; Viridiplantae; Streptophyta; Magnoliopsida; Poales; Poaceae. The record is from RNAcentral.
AUGAUAGUUCUUAAACUAGACUUCCAGAAGGCAUUCGACACGGUUAGUUGGGCUUGCCUUCCCAGCAUUUUGGAGGCUCGUGGCUUUCCUCAGAAAUGGAUCAGUUGGGUUGAUGCUAUUCUGUCCACGGCCAGCUCCAGGGUCAUGAUCAAUGGUGAAUUGGGCGAACCGUUCCAGGCCAAAAGAGGAUUCAGGCAAGGUGAUUCAAUGUCACCG